Molecule: long non-coding RNA, 374 nt
Organism: Scylla paramamosain (green mud crab)
Lineage: Eukaryota; Metazoa; Arthropoda; Malacostraca; Decapoda; Portunidae
Exons: 3
Source: RefSeq, a predicted model, not a curated record
AUGGCAGCACCGUCGCCCCUCCAGCUGAGAGAAGGUAAACAAACCCGUGUUUCCUGCUGCUUCUCAUUUCUGCAGCUGUGUGAGGAAUUAACGAAGCCAUAACACAACCAGGACCUUAUUUGUGUGUUUUUGCUCCCUACUGAUGACUGGAGGUGCGUGGAGGUCAGACUGGAGAGUGGAAGGAAGGUGGAUGAAGUGGUGGUGGCGGGAGCGUGAUGAAUGGAAGGCUGGAGGUGAAAAGCGUAGUGAUCGGCCGAGGACGACCUGCAGCAGCGAGGACGAUUCCAUCCUCACACCAACUAUCCCAAAAUAACAAUUCUGUAAGUACUGAGUCCAUAGACACUUGGUACAUUUUAUUCAUUUUUAUUCAUCUC